Molecule: ribosomal RNA, 253 nt
Filed under: uncultured bacterium
Lineage: Bacteria
Description: partial 16S ribosomal RNA
Rfam family: Bacterial small subunit ribosomal RNA
Source: RNAcentral
UACGAAUGGGGCAAGCGUUGUUCGGAAUCACUGGGCUUAAAGCGUGCGCAGGCGGAUUUGCAAGUCAGAAGUGAAAGCCUUGGGCUCAACCCGAGAAUUGCUUUUGAAACUGCAAAUCUAGAAUCCGGUAGAGGUUGGGAGAAUUCCUAGUGUAGAGGUAAAAUUCGCAGAUAUUAGGAGGAAUACCAGUGGCGAAGGCGCCCAACUGGGCCGGUAUUGACGCUCAUGUACGAAAGCGUGGGGAGCAAACAGG